GAUGAACGCUGGCGGCGUGCCUAAUACAUGCAAGUCGAGCGAACGGACGCGAAGCUUGCUUCUCUGAUGUUAGCGGCGGACGGGUGAGUAACACGUGGUUCACCUCUCUAUCAGACUGGGAUCACUUCGGGAAACCGGAGCUAAUACCGGAUAAUCUUUUGAUCCGCUUGGUUCAAAAGUGAAAGACGGUCUUGCUGUCACUUAUAGAUGGAUCCGCGCUGCAUUAGCUAGUUGGUAAGGUAACGGCUUACCAAGGCAACGAUGCAUAGCCGACCUGAGAGGGUGAGCGGCCACACUGUAACUGAGACACGGUGCAGACGCCUACGGUAGGCAGCAGUAGGGAAGCGGCCGCAAUGGGCGGAAGCCUGACGGAGCAACGCCGCGUGAGUGAUGAAGGUCUGCGGAUCGUAAAACUCUGUUAUUAGGGAAGAACAGAUGUGUAAGUAACUGUGCACAUCGUGACGGUACCGAAUCAGAAAGCCACGGCUAACUACGUG
Molecule: ribosomal RNA, 497 nt
Filed under: uncultured bacterium
Lineage: Bacteria
Description: partial 16S ribosomal RNA
Rfam family: Bacterial small subunit ribosomal RNA
Source: RNAcentral